This 467-nucleotide ribosomal RNA is filed under the name uncultured bacterium. Its description in RNAcentral is "partial 16S ribosomal RNA". It matches the Rfam family "Bacterial small subunit ribosomal RNA", at positions 29 to 507 of the family's 1533-position model. The record is from RNAcentral.
ACGAACGCUGGCGGCGUGCUUAACACCUGCAAGUCGAACGGAAAGGCCCUGCUUUUGUGGGGUGCUCGAGUGGCGAACGGGUGAGUAACACGUGAGUAACCUGCCCUUGACUUUGGGAUAACUUCAGGAAACUGGGGCUAAUACCGGAUAGGAGCUCCUGCUGCAUGGUGGGGGUUGGAAAGUUUCGGCGGUUGGGGAUGGACUCGCGGCCUAUCAGCUUGUUGGUGGGGUAGUGGCUUACCAAGGCUUUGACGGGUAGCCGGCCUGAGAGGGUGACCGGCCACAUUGGGACUGAGAUACGGCCCAGACUCCUACGGGAGGCAGCAGUGGGGAAUAUUGCACAAUGGGCGGAAGCCUGAUGCAGCAACGCCGCGUGCGGGAUGACGGCCUUCGGGUUGUAAACCGCUUUCGCCUGUGACGAAGCGUGAGUGACGGUAAUGGGUAAAGAAGCACCGGCUAACUACGUG